GAUGAACGCUGGCGGCGUGCCUAAUACAUGCAAGUCGAGCGAACAGACGAGGAACUUGCUCCUCUGACGUUAGCGGCGGACGGGUGAGUAACACGUGGAUAACCUACCUAUAAAACUGGGAUAACUUCGGGAAACCGGAGCUAAUACCGGAUAAUAUAUUGAACCGCAUGGUUCAAUAGUGAAAGACGGUUUUGCUGUCACUUAUAGAUGGAUCCGCGCCGCAUUAGCUAGUUGGUAAGGUAACGGCUUACCAAGGCAACGAUGCGUAGCCGACCUGAGAGGGUGAUCGGCCACACGGGAACUGAGACACGGUCCAGACUCCUACGGUAGGCAGCAGUCGGGAAUCUUACGCAAUGGGCGAAAGCCUGACGGAGCAACGCCGCGUGAGUGAUGAAGGUCUUCGGAUCGUAAAACUCUGUUAUUAGGGAAGAACAAAUGUGUAAGUAACUAUGCACGUCUUGACGGUACCUAAUCAGAAAGCCACGGCUAACUACGUG
Molecule: ribosomal RNA, 497 nt
Filed under: uncultured bacterium
Lineage: Bacteria
Description: partial 16S ribosomal RNA
Rfam family: Bacterial small subunit ribosomal RNA
Source: RNAcentral